Molecule: ribosomal RNA, 253 nt
Filed under: uncultured bacterium
Lineage: Bacteria
Description: partial 16S ribosomal RNA
Rfam family: Bacterial small subunit ribosomal RNA
Source: RNAcentral
UACGGAGGGUGCAAGCGUUGUCCGGAAUCACUGGGCGUAAAGAGCUCGUAGGCGGUUUGUCGCGUCUGCCGUGAAAACUGGGGGCUCAACCCCCAGCCUGCAGUGGGUACGGGCAGACUAGAGUGCGGUAGGGGAGAUUGGAAUUCCUGGUGUAGCGGUGGAAUGCGCAGAUAUCAGGAGGAACACCGAUGGCGAAGGCAGAUCUCUGGGCCGUAACUGACGCUGAGGAGCGAAAGCAUGGGGAGCGAACAGG